AUUGAACGCUGGCGGCAGGCCUAACACAUGCAAGUCGAGCGGUAGCACAAGAGAGCUUGCUCUCUGGGUGACGAGCGGCGGACGGGUGAGUAAUGUCUGGGAAACUGCCUGAUGGAGGGGGAUAACUACUGGAAACGGUAGCUAAUACCGCAUAACGUCUUCGGACCAAAGUGGGGGACCUUCGGGCCUCACGCCAUCAGAUGUGCCCAGAUGGGAUUAGCUAGUAGGUGGGGUAAUGGCUCACCUAGGCGACGAUCCCUAGCUGGUCUGAGAGGAUGACCAGCCACACUGGAACUGAGACACGGUCCAGACUCCUACGGGAGGCAGCAGUGGGGAAUAUUGCACAAUGGGCGCAAGCCUGAUGCAGCCAUGCCGCGUGUGUGAAGAAGGCCUUCGGGUUGUAAAGCACUUUCAGCGAGGAGGAAGGGUGGUGUGUUAAUAGCACAUCACAUUGACGUUACUCGCAGAAGAAGCACCGGCUAACUCCGUGCCAGCAGCCGCGGUAAUACGGAGGGUGCAAGCGUUAAUCGGAAUUACUGGGCGUAAAGCGCACGCAGGCGGUUUGUUAAGUCAGAUGUGAAAUCCCCGCGCUUAACGUGGGAAC
RNAcentral lists this ribosomal RNA (604 nucleotides) under uncultured bacterium. RNAcentral's name for it is "bacterial SSU rRNA". It matches the Rfam family "Bacterial small subunit ribosomal RNA", at positions 28 to 621 of the family's 1533-position model. The record is from RNAcentral.